RNAcentral lists this ribosomal RNA (119 nucleotides) under Pteropus alecto (black flying fox). The record is from RNAcentral. Lineage: Eukaryota; Metazoa; Chordata; Mammalia; Chiroptera; Pteropodidae.
GUCUAUGGCCAUACCACCCUGAACAAGCCAGAUCCCGUCUGAUCUCGGAAGCUAAGCAGGGUUGGGCCUGGUUAGUACUUGGAUGGGAGACCACCUAGGAAGACCAGGUGCUGUAAGCG